CACCAGGCUAGAAAUCAGGAGACCAUGAGCUCUAAUCCCUUGGACAUGAAAGCCAGCUGGGUUUCUCUGGGACAGUCACUCUCUCCCAGCCCAAUUCACAGGUGGUGGUUGUUGUGAGGAAAAUACUGAGGUGGAAGGACUAUUAGGAGGCUGUAUGCAUCUCGGAUAUGUUGGAGUAUGCUUCCGCAGCGGCUCUACUAAUUAUGUGAUUCUCCUUGCCUUUAGAUGUAUCUUAAAAGCUAUCAUUAAUAUUACAUUAUUGAAAAGAGCCACUUCAGUAAGUAAACUUCAGUUUCUAGUGCAGAAAAUCCACAGCAUUGGUUGCCAUUCAUCUGAACAGCAAUGGAUGAGCUAUUUGAGCAAGCCACCAAGAAAAGAGGAAAAUACGGCUGAAUUCGGUUUACCUGGACUGCAACAGUAUUCACUUUUUGAGGAUAUAUGAAGUGAAUUCUGAAAGCGAACUCUGAAGAUGUCUGGAUCCCUCACAAAUUAUUAAAAGUUAAGAUUGUGCAGCA
Long non-coding RNA from Pantherophis guttatus, 515 nucleotides. RefSeq lists it as uncharacterized. NCBI's taxonomy places the organism in Eukaryota, Metazoa, Chordata, Lepidosauria, Squamata, Colubridae. The record is from RefSeq and is a predicted model, not a curated record.